Molecule: ribosomal RNA, 274 nt
Filed under: uncultured bacterium
Lineage: Bacteria
Description: partial 16S ribosomal RNA
Rfam family: Bacterial small subunit ribosomal RNA
Source: RNAcentral
AUACGGGGGGGGCAAGCGUUGUUCGGAAUUAUUGGGCGUAAAGCGGGUGUAGGCGGCCAGGCAAGUCAAGUGUGAAAUCCCUGGGCUCAACCCAGGAACUGCACUCGAAACUGCUUGGCUAGAGUCCCGGAGAGGGUGGCAGAAUUCCCGGUGUAGAGGUGAACUUCGUAGAUAUCGGGAGGAAUACCAGUGGCGAAGGCGGCCACCUGGACGGUGACUGACGCUCAGACCCGAAAGCGUGGGGAGCAAACAGGAUUAGAAACCCCAGUAGUCC